GGGAGUGAUGGGGAUGGGGUUCCCCCGAUAACCGCCAUGUUGGCUGAUGACUCCUACCGAACG
This 63-nucleotide non-coding RNA is filed under the name Aurantimonas sp. 22II-16-19i. Its description in RNAcentral is "Fluoride riboswitch aptamer (crcB RNA motif)". It matches the Rfam family "Fluoride riboswitch aptamer (crcB RNA motif)". The record is from Rfam by way of RNAcentral. RNAcentral also lists the same sequence under 1 other name. Lineage: Bacteria; Pseudomonadati; Pseudomonadota; Alphaproteobacteria; Hyphomicrobiales; Aurantimonadaceae.